UGGUGGAUUGAUUUGUCUGGUUGAUUCCGAUAACGAACGAGACGAGCAUAUUCAACUACGUUCUUCCCUAAUGCAAAUUAGAGAGACGUUCUUAAAUAGACAACUUGCUUCAAGCAAGAGGAAGCGGCUCGCAAUAACA
RNAcentral lists this ribosomal RNA (139 nucleotides) under uncultured eukaryote. Its description in RNAcentral is "partial 18S ribosomal RNA". It matches the Rfam family "Eukaryotic small subunit ribosomal RNA", at positions 1299 to 1458 of the family's 1831-position model. The record is from RNAcentral.